Molecule: RNA transcript, 2355 nt
Organism: Musa acuminata AAA Group (dessert banana)
Lineage: Eukaryota; Viridiplantae; Streptophyta; Magnoliopsida; Zingiberales; Musaceae
Exons: 19
Source: RefSeq, a predicted model, not a curated record
UAUGCGAACCGUCUUCCCCUUGGCCGGUUCUCCUUCAUCGGAACCCUGCGCUCGACCAUGGCCUUAGGCGAGCUCGUUAGCCGAUCCCAGAUCCCCGACGGUGGCGUAGCCGGAGAUCCACCGAUCAAUGGCGCCUCCGCCGCUGUCUCCGAGAGGAAAAAGGUCCGAGAAAGCGAGCGCCGCCGCCGUCGGCGGAAGCAGAAGAAGAACGACAGUAAAUCCUCUGUUUCCUUGGCCGACGGCGGCGAGAAGAGGGGAGUAGAGGGAGGGGAAAUGGGCGCAGCUGAGGACGAGCGCAAUGAUUACCCCGAGGUCAACAUGAGUGUGGAAGUGGAGUACAUUCCUGAAAAGGCUGAUGUAGACGAAAGCAUUUUCGAGGAAUUCAAGAAUGUUAUCGAGAAGUUCAACUUCAGAGAUCAUGCUGGUGUCGAGGAUAAUUCAACAAAGGAUGAGACCAUGGGCAAUGCGGCAGCCAAGAAGGGAGAUUCAGAUACAGAAGAGGAUGAGCAGGAAACUCAGCAGAAGGAAAAAGGACUCUCGAACAAGAAGAAGAAGCUUCAAAAACGAAUGAAGAUUGCAGAACUGAAGCAAAUUUGCUCAAGGCCAGAUGUAGUUGAGGUUUGGGAUGCAACCGCAGCAGAUCCAAAGCUACUUGUAUUUCUUAAGUCGUAUCGAAAUACUGUGCCUGUUCCAAGGCACUGGUGCCAAAAGCGGAAGUUUUUACAGGGAAAACGAGGUAUUGAAAAACAACCUUUUCACCUUCCUGACUUCAUUGCUGCAACUGGAAUAGAGAAAAUAAGACAGGCAUACAUUGAGAAAGAGGAUAGCAAGAAGCUAAAACAGAAACAGCGUGAGCGCAUGCAACCAAAGAUGGGAAAGAUGGAUAUUGAUUAUCAGGUCCUUCAUGAUGCAUUUUUCAAGUAUCAGACCAAACCAAAGCUGACAACACAUGGAGAUCUAUACUAUGAAGGAAAGGAAUUUGAGUUCAAACUUAGGGAAAUGAAGCCAGGAAUGUUGUCAAGGGAACUCAAAGAAGCACUAGGGAUGCCUGAUGGUGCACCGCCUCCAUGGCUUAUUAAUAUGCAGAGGUAUGGCCCACCUCCAUCCUACCCUCACUUGAAGAUACCUGGGCUAAAUGCUCCCAUCCCUCCUGGAGCCAGCUUUGGUUAUCAUCCUGGAGGUUGGGGUAAACCUCCAGUUGAUGAAUAUGGACGCCCAUUAUAUGGCGAUGUUUUUGGGGUACUGCAGCAGGAGCAACUUAAUUAUGAGGAAGAACCGGUUGAUCGGAGCAAACACUGGGGAGAUUUGGAGGAAGAAGAGGAAGAAGAGGAGGAAGAGGAAGAGGAGGAAGAGAUGGAAGAAGAGGAAUUGGAGGCUGGCAUUCAGUCUGUUGACAGCCUUUCAAGCACUCCCACCGGUGUAGAAACACCUGAUGUGAUUGACUUGAGGAAGCAACAGAGGAAGGAGCCUGAGAAACCACUUUAUCAAGUACUUGAAGAGAAGGAAGAAAGGAUUGUUCCUGGGACUUUGCUGGGAACAACCCACACGUAUGUGCUUGGGGCACAAGAUAAAACAGCUGCAAAAAGGGUUGAUCUUUUACGGGGUCAAAAAUCAGACAAGGUGGAUGUCACCAUACAACCAGAAGAGCUGGAAGUUAUGGACGAUGUUUUGGCAGCCAAGUAUGAAGAAGCACGAGAGGAAGAGAAGGUACGGAACCAGAAGGAGGACUUCAGCGAUAUGGUUGCAGAGCAAGCAGCAAACAAAAGGAAGCGCAAGGAGAAGGAAGGGAAAUCGAAGAAGAAAGAUUUCAAGUUCUAGACCAUGUGGCCUGGUCUUUUGCUUAAAGCUUACCCUUAGCGUUCAGCAUAUAGGUCACUCACUCUUGCUGUGAAUGGAGUGUCGGGGAACAUUGUUGUUUGUUUGUCUGCCACAAGCUACUAUGUCAUGUUCUUAUAAAAUGUGUCUUUGUAGAAUAGCUAAUGAACUACAUUUAUAGAUCAUCAAGAUGAUUUGCUUGCAGAUUUCGAAGUCCAAAAUUAAGGCCUCAUUCUUUGUCAUACCGUGUUUCAACCCGCAACAUGUUUUAGGAACCAACGGAGAGCAGCCUAUACCAAGGUCAAGUCUAUAGUUUGAUCACGUGGCAAGUAGGUCCCUCAUCAAUGUCUGAGUUGGGCCUUCUUAAAUGCUGUAUGGAAUUAAGUGUUUCGGAAAAGAGUGCAUAAUAAUGUUUGUUAUCUUUGGUCAGCAAUAUAAAUACUUUUUGUCGUUUUAAGUAUAAAAAAAAUGAACAACAUGAGCCUAAGGUCGUGUAUUGAGGCAGGUAAGUUUCUAUUUAUUUAGAUUUUGUUUUUAGAA